UUAGAUCCAAGAGUAAAUUGCAUAAAUGGUUCCUAUCCAACCCAUCGAGUAGCAAUUGAGAUAACCGUGCGGGUUUUAGAGUCAACUCGACGAGUAGGAGCUGAGUGAGAAAACCCUAAGUUUCAGGGUUUGCACCAUAUUUAAAGGACCUUAAGUCCUUUACCUCGCCUCCCUCAUCACCUUAUCACCCUGAGAGAAACCCUAAUCAAGCUAUCAUCCACUGUGAGAGAGAGUGAGGCUAAAAGUGUGUAUUUUGGUGCAUUCUUUGAAGGGGCUUGAGGAGUAAAAGGCUUGGAACAAGAAGGAGUCGUUGGAUCCGGCAUUUUCAGUGUUAGCGGCCAUUAGGAGGCGGAGUCUAGGCCUACCGUUGAGUACGGGACAUACUUGCUUACUUACGAGAACCAAAGGGUCCAAACCGAGUUGUGAGAUCGCAGGGUCCUCAAUGAGAUACCGGACUAGAGGGUCCAUACUAAGGCGUGAGACCGGAGGGUCUUCAUUGAGACACAUGACCGGAAGGUCCAAAUCGAGACAUAGCCAUGAGAGGUACUUCUGUAGAUUCCUGGAAGGAGGAGGCAUGAUUGUACACAUCCGUCGACUUAUGGAGACUUGAAGAUUUUGGGAUACUCUAAUAUUGUUUGAUAAUAACUUAUAAUUUUUGUGAUGACUGGAAUUUAUGAGUAAUAUUUUAAGAAUAAAAAUGAAAAAAAUAUGUCUUGAAA
This is a long non-coding RNA of Lactuca sativa (garden lettuce), 719 nucleotides long. RefSeq lists it as uncharacterized. The record is from RefSeq and is a predicted model, not a curated record. NCBI's taxonomy places the organism in Eukaryota, Viridiplantae, Streptophyta, Magnoliopsida, Asterales, Asteraceae.